This 467-nucleotide ribosomal RNA is filed under the name uncultured bacterium. RNAcentral describes it as "partial 16S ribosomal RNA". It matches the Rfam family "Bacterial small subunit ribosomal RNA", at positions 28 to 507 of the family's 1533-position model. The record is from RNAcentral.
GACGAACGCUGGCGGCGUGCUUAACACAUGCAAGUCGAACGGAAAGGCCUCUUUCGGGGGGUACUCGAGUGGCGAACGGGUGAGUAGCACGUGAGUAACCUGCCCUUGACUUUGGGAUAACUUCAGGAAACUGGGGCUAAUACCGGAUAGGAGCUCCUGCUGCAUGGUGGGGGUUGGAAAGUUUCGGCGGUUGGGGAUGGACUCGCGGCUUAUCAGCUUGUUGGUGGGGUAGUGGCUUACCAAGGCUUUGACGGGUAGCCGGCCUGAGAGGGUGACCGGCCACAUUGGGACUGAGAUACGGCCCAGACUCCUACGGGAGGCAGCAGUGGGGAAUAUUGCACAAUGGGUGGAAGCCUGAUGCAGCAACGCCGUGGGCGGGAGGACGGCCUUCGGGUUGUAAACCGCUUUCGCUCAUGACGAAGCUUUGUGUGACGGUAGUGGGUAAAGAAGCACCGGCUAACUACGUG